CUAAAAAGCCCUUCCACCUCUAGAGAGAAGCCCCAGGGACAUUCGUUGUGCUUCCAUUUCACCAAGGCUGUAGUCUCAUCCCCACAAUGGCUGGGAUAUUUUGUUGAAGAUAUAUUUAAAGGUGCUUGAAGCCAGACAGAAUUCAGAUGCCGACAGAAAGCUCCAGACUGCUAGAGAAGAAGAAAGGAAGACAAGAAGAAAGAAAAUGAGAUGGGAUUUUCCUUAUCUUCUGCUCGCUGUGGGAACUGCUGAGCACUUGCUGUAAACUGGAGCAGCACGACACGAGUUGGCCAUCAGCAGCAGGUUCAAUUAGGAAUGUUUUACAGCCCAAGGCCACGAACAGGGAGACCUCGGUGGGAGCCAUUUAUUGUUUGAUGACCUGAUGCCAAUCAAAUGGGAGUCAUAUUUAUCCCAGCCCACUGUGAAUGACCUAAAAACUCAUGGUCUGUGCAGUAUGGCCAAUGACUGGCAAUGACAGACUCUGGCAGUGGUUGGUCCCACCUGUGCUGGCUGCCUCCCAAUGCAAACUUUUUGGCUUAGCCUGCAGGAAGUUAAAGCUCCCAGUCUCCCGCAACCACAGCAACAGAUAGACGCUAAUUUCUUUUCCUGAAAGAUGUAUUUUUCAUAAAUUUCAUUUUCAGCGUUUGCAGUGUGGGCUCCUUCCCAAACAAAGCAGGCAGCGACUGAGCCUGGGUUUAUUGCCUCCACAAUCCAAAUUGCAGCUAUUAUCGCUAUCUACAACCUGCAAUUAUCCUCAGCUUGCGUAUUUCAUUUCUUUAUCAAAACAUACUUUGUGCUGAUGGGAGGUGAUAGACUGGCAGCUCGGGAAGCCGUGUCUGCUCUCCCAGCAGCAGCUGCAAAGGCAGAGAGCAGCCCCUCACUCAUGGCAGCAGAUGUGUGAUUGCAGCAUUCAGGGACACAGAACGUCUCAUUGUGGUGAGGGGAGUUCUGAUGCAUCUCAUUUCAUCCUAAGAUCAGGUCUACCUGCUUUCCUCUGCCUUACAUUGUGCAGAAUGAAGGGAGCCCACCAUUUCAUGCAUUUUCUUCAUGGCCCUGCUGUGUUAUCCAUCCUUUGUGCUGCCACAGCAGUUUUUUUUUUUUUCCUAUGCCAUGAUGGGGAUUGAUUUACCUAUCCCUAAAGAUCUGCAGGCUGCCAGGCUGGAGGGUUCUGCCAUGUGGGGGCUGCUGUGCAGCUGCGUUUCCUGGGAGACACCUUCUAUUUCAUCCAGCAAUCCCAUCUGGGUGAAGUAGAAUUAAAACUUAAUAAUAACAACUUUGAUCACUGGGCAAGUUUGUAAAUUGAAAUGGCGAUGAGAUCUGGUGGAUGCCUUCAGGAGGCUCAGAGAGGAACCAACCUGAAAUGCUUGGCUCUAAUCUGCAUUUCCAAGUAACUGUGUUGCAAGAUGUCCGUUCUGUUGAAAAUGAACAAAUCCAGUCUCAAGAAGAUCAGCUACUUUGUCCCCAUCAAUUACCACUUAAUUAGAGACUCAGAAUGACCCUGACGUGGCAGUGGAGGGAUGGCUGCCUGCCUUCUUCAUUCCAGUGGGUAAAACACAAGAUGGGUAUAGAAUCAUAGACAUAGAAUUGUUUGAGUUGGAAGGAACCCUUAAAGGCCAUCUGGUCCAUCUGUGAUGAAUGGGGACCCCCAGAGCUCCAUCAGAGCUGAGGGUCCCAUCCCCUGGCCUUGGCUGUCUGCAGGGAUGGGUUAUUCACCACCUCUCUGGGCAACCUGAACCACUGCCUCACUACCCUUGUUGUAAACAACAUUUUCUUUAUACCCAGUCAAAAAAAUCCACUCUUUUAGUUUGAAUCAAUUUCCCCUCAUCCUAUCACACAGACUGUACUGAAGAGUCUGUCCCUUUCUUUUGUAUGGCCCCUCAUUAGAUACCAAAGGCUGCUCUAGGCUCUCCUGGCAGCCCUUCCCUCUCCAGGCUGCACAACCCCGACUCUCAACCUGUCCUCAUGGAGAGAUGUUCCAUCCCUUCUCUGGCCAUAUCUCAUGUUCAUGUCUCUCCUGCACUGAGCACUCCCCAUUUGGACACAGACCCACUAUGAAACAUGUGGCUGAGAUGUGGAUCUGUUCUACACUGAUGCAAAAUUUAGGUGUCUGUUGGGUGUUGGGAUACUAUAAUUUUGGUUUCCAACAUGCAGGUGCUGCAGACAUUCCCAUUUUUUGCUCAAAAUGGAAUUAAAAUUUUUGCUUUUAAUCACUGAAGUAGAUUUUCUUUUAUGUUUUCUUGCUGGAAAAAAAAAAAAAAAAAAGACUAGAAUUUGGAUCACAUUGAUUUCUUUUUCCCACUUUUUAACUUAGUAGUUGAACUGAAAAAUCAAUUACUCACCCAGCAUUGCUCCCUACAUUGUCCAGGUGUAGAAACUGUUGUUUCUGUUCAAUAGCAGGUGCUCAGUAAUUUGAUCAAAUGAAUGCCAGGGUGAGAACAGGUCAUCUCAUUGCCUUUUCUAACUCAUCCCAUCUUGCCUGCAACCCCUCGGGGCUGCAAGAGAAACCCCAGAGUGCUUCCUUUCCUUCAUGCAGUGCACAUGUAGAGUAUGGAGCCAAUUUAGAUGGCAAUACACAAUAAGAGCUUGGUUUUGAUCCUAAUGGCUGGUGGUAGUUUUCUAAAGUAUGCUUCAAAAUCAACAUAAG
Tympanuchus pallidicinctus (lesser prairie-chicken) is the source of this 2644-nucleotide long non-coding RNA. RefSeq lists it as uncharacterized. The record is from RefSeq and is a predicted model, not a curated record. Lineage: Eukaryota; Metazoa; Chordata; Aves; Galliformes; Phasianidae. The transcript has 2 exons.